Molecule: non-coding RNA, 10602 nt
Organism: Rattus norvegicus (Norway rat)
Lineage: Eukaryota; Metazoa; Chordata; Mammalia; Rodentia; Muridae
Source: RefSeq, a predicted model, not a curated record
CACAAUUGUCACUUACAGCUAGUGAUAAUGCCAAAUAACAUCAUCUCACCUUGUAUUAGCUGCCCUGAUUCCAAUGCUGCCAUGACCCCAUACCUUUUUUACCCCUCUUUUUGGCAUGGCAAACUGUUUUAAGACAUCCAGGAUAUGUUCUGUAUGAAGACUAAGCUCCCUAGACUGCAAUAGAACCACAACCCUUGAUAUUUCAUCUCUGCCAGUGUCCUGCAUUCCGACACAUCAACUCUUUGUGGUAUUUAGAGUCCAAUGCAUUACUAGAGAAUUCCUAGCUGUACUCAAACUCAAACCUGACCAGGUUAUUUCUAUAUUACAACUACCUUUUGCUGAGACAAAAGCCCAACACAUGCUGAAUUUCUUGCAAACAGAACACAUUGGCAUAGACUUUACCAAAGGCUCCAAAGUAUAUUCUUGAAGGGUCAGAAGAGAGAAAUUGCCCUUUACAGUAUAUUAAGAACAGGCAUAUUUUUUCCUUGGUAAGGAAGUUUGUUAUGUACCUGGGUGAUUUGAAUCUAACAUUGCUGAGGAAAUGCUGGCUAUGAAAUAAGAACAAAAAAAAAAGUAAAACAUAUCUACUACAUGGCAGGAAAGGAAUCUUAAUACUUUUCUCUGCUGAUUGAUGGACCUAAAAUAUAUUCAGGCAUAUAGAGUUGUCAAAUAUUGCAAACAGAAGAUCUAGAAAAAGACUAGAUCUCACCAAGCUGGUUUUUUCUAUUGGUUGUUAAUUUCAAAGAGAGAGAUAGCACAAAUAUUCAGUGGUAGGAAAACAACUUAAUUUUAGUCAGAUGUCGUAUUCAGGGAAGCUGAAUGCUCAAAAGUGACAUGGAAAGCACAAUUGAGUCAGAGGACUUGUUCCUGCUUAAACUGUAGCAUUCUCAAGAAUUUCUCUGGGUACUAAGACAGUCAGGCCACUUAGCCAGCACAUGGGAAGUCACUGGAAUAGAAUGUGAGGAAGGAUGUUCUAAGAAUGCUUAGACAAUUUGAAUUGAUCUUCCUUGUAGUUGCUUUGAGCAAGUCAAUACGUUAGAAUGAACAUAUAUUCUUGUCAGUUAAUACAUCCUCCUUCACAUAUUCAACGUUGACAACAGAUUUUCAUUUCUUAGAUACGUUAAUGUGUGACUGGAUUGACAUAUACUAUAUUGAGCACAUGAGUCAAAAACAGGAUGAGAAAGUCACACUAAGAGCACCAGGCAUGUUGUGAUGGUUCGUGGCCAGAUUUGGGAAGGCAGUCACAGAAAUGUGUGAGCCACACGUCUUGCUAGAGAAUGCAGAUGCACAUUGCUGAGGAAAUGCUGGCUAUGAAAUAAGAACAAAAAAAAAGUAAAACAUAUCUACUACAUGGCAGGAAAGGAAUCUUAACACUUUUCUCUGCGGAUUGAUGGACCUAAAAUAUAUUCAGGCAUAUAGAGUUGUCAAAUAUUGCAAACAGAAGAUCUAGAAAAAGACUAGAUCUCACCAAGCUGGUUUUUGAGGAUCUGGUUACCUUUGUUCAGCACCUGGUUGCCUACCGCAGUUUAAAAAAACAAAAAACAAAACAAAAACAAAAACAAAAACAACCCCAAAAAACCAAAAACCGACAAAACAAACAAACAAACAAACCCCCCAUCCCCGAACCAAAAACUGCUGGCAACUAUUUUACUUAAUUUUGUUUAUAAGGCUUUGUUAUUUACUGUCCAGAUGCUCCUCAUGGGUUUCUAGAGCAGAAAUCAUGAGGUUUAAGCUGUUUGCUUGCAUUCAUAAGAAAUAUUCCAGUCUACAGGAGACAGCUAGACAGCUUCUCACCUCUCUGCCAUCUGAAUUCAGUCAGGGAACAAUUCUAAGACAUCGCUUUGGUUUGCAGUCAUCUCUCUUUCCUUACAUGCGUAUACGUGUUCUAAGUGGGCCUGCAAUAUCACUUCAAAUGAGUGUUUUGGAAAAGAUAUUCCAAGUUGACAUUGGUGUCUCUCCCUAAGAUUAUGGUCACUAAAGAGCAUAUGCGAAAUCCCUAAUGGAACCAAACGCCUGAAUGACAACUAGUUGUCAUUCACUAGUGGGAGAAUGGUGUUUAGGGAGAAGAGUGGUUUAAAAUUAUUUAUCGAAAACUUUGAAAAUGCCUAUGCCUGGCUUGGAUAACAAGGCGGUGUGCGUAUGCUUGAAGAGUGAGAUAGAAUGUAUUAGGAUUUAAUUGCUGCCAAUGUUCUUAGUUCAGCUACUAUGCAACUAUCUUGGCAGGAGGUGGAGAAAAAAAUAAGCCAUUGUUUGGCUAAUGGGGAGGAGGUCAAUACUCAGAAUGUGCUAAGCACUGUGCUAAUCAUUUACAUCAUGCAUCCAAUUUUCCUAAAACUUGAUGAAGUGUUAUUGAUCCCUCUCAAUAAAUGGAAAAAAAGAAGAAAAAGAAAAUCAUCUUUUAUUAAAAUUCUUGAAGUCGAUGAAUUGAACCAGAAUUUUCCACCAACUGUGAGUCAGCUCACAGAAUUCUUUUAUUAAACAAGAGGUCUUCAUUCAUUCUAACUCCAAUCAAAACUCCUCUGCUUCUGAGCUGUCCAGCACAAUCUAAUGUCUACACAUGAUUUUUUUCAAUAGUCAAAAUGCUAGCAGAAAACACAGAAAGCAUGAGUUAAACAGAUGACUCCUGAAUAUUGUCACUGAAGUUGUAAUUGCAGUCCAGGUUUUAGACCAAAUUUAAACACAAUAAGGUGUCUGAAUUCCUUGUGGAAAACAAAACCCAGAAAGCAGAUAAAACUUAUUCAGGUACGCUCAUUAAAUAUGAACUAGGUACUUAGUGAGGUUCCCUGGGUGCAGAGGGGCGGUUUCUACUGUCAGGAAGCUCAUCUUAUAUCUUGAGGAGGCUGCAUCAAUAAAUAAUUACAGCAGAAUGAUAAUGUAUGCAUGCAUGUUGAGUGAUGAGCAAGGAACAAUAGGGGACAGCUCAAAGAAUAAUUAAUCAUCUGGUGAAGAUAUGAAGAUGUCAAGUAAGCCCCCAUAAAAGAAAGCAAAAUGGUUCUAAUAAAUGAUCAGGUAUCAUGACAAAUGACAGUGCCCUUGGAAGUAAUGCUGGGCAUUGCUUGAGGACAGUAAUGUACUGGAAAAUAAGUGUGGCACCAUUAUCAGCUGUUUGCUUUGCCUACAUCUCAAUUUGUAAUUUUAAUUUCUGGGGCAAACAUAACAGUUUAGGCUUCCAGACAAGUUCUCUUCCAUCAACAUAAUGUGUUUAAAUCACUGGCUUUCCAGGCCUCUCCAGGCCUCACUCUUCUCCAUUACAUUGUUAGGCACUAUUUUUUGCUUCCUAUGACCUGGAUGACCUUGUAUUCUCUUCACUGUGCAUGCUGUCACAAGAUAUGAUGACUCAUUGAGCAUUUUAAAUCCAAACUGACAUAACAACUGCUUUAUUAAAAACAACAGUUUCUCAAGAUGUAAACAAAUAUCAAAACAAGGUGAGGUGUGUUUAAGAUUAUAAAAAAAAAAAAAGAAAACCCACAAAUGUGUACAUGAGAUAGAACAACCAGCAAAGAAGAAAAAUGUGUCCUAGAAUGGACAAAUUCUAAGAAUUAAUUACUUGUUGGUAAGUGUUACAAAAAUGAAGAAAUUCGUGAAGUUUACAGUUCCAAAUACAUCAACCUCUAAAACAGGAAAAAGCAAUAAAUAAAAAGAUAUAUCACCUUGUCAGUAUGUGUUGAUAAAGGGUUAACUGAGCUUGCUUAAUGCAAUUAAACAAUCCAAUAUAUUUGAAAUUGUGCCAUGGAGCCUGAUAGGCAAAACAUUGUUAAACCAGAAGUACCAAUUAAUUACUUUAUUGGACCAUUAAACAUCUGGCUUGCCUUUGUUAGUCAAUUAACUUAAACAGUUCAUUAAAAACCAAUGAAACAUGACAGAAAAAAAUUAGAGGCUUUGUUUUUUUUUUUCCUUUGCGUUUACCUAUGGAUUAAAAGAUUUUAUUUUCUUGUGAACUCUGAUAUCCAAAGGUAUAAUAGGAAAUCAGAGGCCUAUUUGAUUGAUGGGAAAUUCUAUAGCCAAGAUCAAAAUAGGAAGUCAAAGAUCCAUUUGCUUUUAGUAACUGAACACAAAGAAUACUACAGAAAUAUGUAGAGGAGGAAAACCCCUUUUCUAAUAUACCUGAGCCAGAUCCUUAAGAGAAUGAUUUCUAGUUCUAGUGGUAAAAUUCCUCAGCAACCAUUUCUUUCAGGAAAUGAUCAGAAAACUUUAGGAAUAUUGAAUAAGCAUAUAUACCUGCAAUUAAAUAAUCCAAUAUAUUUGAAAUUAUGCCAUGGAGUCUGAUAGGCAAAACAUUGUUAAACAAGAAGUACAAAUUAAUUACUUUAUUGAACCAUUAAUCAUAUGACUUGCCUUUGUUAGCCAUUUUACUUGAAUAGUUCAAUAUAUAUUAUGUGAUAUAUAUGUAUAUAAUAUGUAUAUAUCAUGUAUGUGCAUAUAUAUGAUGAUAGUGUAAUUAGAUGACUGAACUUCACCUCACUAAUAACCAGUAUUUCUUUUAUCUCCACAGGUAUACCUAUAUUAAUAAAUGUGUCUAUACUUAGAUCUGUGAAGUAUAAAUAUAUAUUGUAUAACUUAUUUCUAAAUUUGUAUGUCUCACCUUCAUAUCUGAGUUUAGGGUUAUUAGAUUCUUGAGGAGUCUAUGGUAUUUUAUUCAUUUAUUAUUGAAUCAAACAACUGGAACUAUAAGAUUAUGUUAUUAAUAUUUUUCAUUUUAAGUCCACUCAAAUGAAUAUUUUUAUAAAAUAAAAUUCUGCUCUUAUGUAACUAUAUUCUUUGAAUAAUAUGUGAGAUACAAUAUCAACUGGUUACUGGUAGCUACCCAAGGUUUUUGUGUACAUUUUCAAGCUGGAAAGCAUUAAUUAAGUAGAAGUAAUUAAACCAGUAGGUAUACCAAUUAAUUAUUAAUUAAAAUCUCAACCUUGAAAGUUCUAUUUAAACUCUAAGGAACAAAAAAGUAGAUCUGAUUAUUUCCAAAUCUUCAUAUUGAUGGACAAACUAGAUACCUAAAAAUUAAGACUAUAACAGCAUUAGCAAUAAAAUUUUGUGGCCAAUUAUGCCUACAGGCUUCAGAUUGUAAUGAAGGGAAGGACUAAUUUUAUGUAGCCACAAAACCUACUAACAACGUCUUACAUAGGUAAUUAAUAGGGAAUCAUAAUAAAUGAUUGAAAGAUAGGACUAUUCCAUUAUUCAAAAAAUUCUCCAUGUAGCCCACAAUUCUCAAUGUCUGCCAGAGCUGACCAAUAUUCAGUAUUUGAGGAUACAAGUAUUUUAAGAUCCUGAGGAAACGGAGUAUUAAAAGACUGAAAUAAAGAGGUUGGUCUGCUUUGUUAACUAUGAACCCUAAAAACCAACUUCCUAGUGUCCAUUGUGGGAAUAGAAAUCACAAGGAAUAACAUCAAAUUUAGCAAGGAGAGGGCUUACGAAAAAGAAUAAAGAUUAAGCCAUGGGGGAGAGCACUGCACUCUCCGAAGUGCAGAUGAUCCUGAGAGCUCAGAGGAGACAACUAUUUCUGCCCACAUUCCUAAACCAAGAGGAACCGGCCCAGUGCCCUCUGUGCCUUCUGGACACAGGGACCUAGCAGCAGUCAGGGGCUGGACCAUGACUGCUCCAAAGCCAAAAACCUGUUGCCAGGAGCACCUGAGAGUCGAGGUAAGACCAAAUCUGCUGCCCCAAGUGACCCCCCUGAUGGCUUUAGGACACACAAAGGCAGAGGUCAUCUGGAACAAGACACUUCUUGUUUCUGGCUGUUCAAAGAGCCGAACCAGUCCCACAGUUCUCUGUACCUAAAACCCAUGAGGGACAGAGCUGGACUCUCAGAAAUGUGGACAAUCCUGAGAGCUCAGAGGAGACAACUACUUCUGCCCACAUUCCUGACCCAAGAGGAACUCCUUAGUGUCCUGUGUACCUUAUAGGCAGAGGGACUUAGGAACAGUCAGGGACAGGACCCUUCUAGUUUCUACCUGUACCAAGAGCUGCCAGGAUUAUCUACACACCUGAGAGCAGAGGAAAGACCAACUCUUCAGCUCCAGUAGACCCAACUGUAAGCUUCAGGUCACAAAACAGAUAUCUGUUCCCAGAUCCAGCUGAAAGAAAACAGGUCUACAGGAGUUCUGACACACAGGCUUACAGGUGGGUCCAGGCACUGUCCAGAGACAGCAAGAGACACACACAGGAACUUAAGCAACUGAAACAAGACUGCAUAGCAUCAUCAGAGCCCAGUUCUCCCACCAAUGCAAAUACUGGAUACCCAAACACACCAGAAAAGCAGGAUUUGGAUUUAAAAUCACAUCUCAUGAUGAUGAUAGGGAACUUUAAGAAGGACAUAAAUAACUCCAGUAAAGAAAUAUAGGACAAAACAGGUAAACAAGUAGAAGCCCUUAAAGGGGAAACACAAAAAUCUCCUAAAGAAUUACAGAAAAACACAAACAGGUGAAGGAAUUGAACAACACAAUCCAGGCUCUAAUAAUGGAAAUAGAAACAAUAAAGAAAUCACAAAUGGAGACAGCCCUGGAGAUAUGAAACCUAGGAAAAAGAUUAGGAGACAUAGAUGCAAGCAUCACCAAUGGAAUACAAGAGAUAGAAGACAGAAUCUCAGGGGCAGAAGAUACCAUAGAAAACAUGGACACAACCAUCAAAAAUAAAGUAAAACAUAAAAACCACCCUAACCUAAAACUAGUAAAUCUAUGACACAAUGAGGUAGUACAGGCAUGAAGUUGAUGCCUCCCACAGUCACUACUCUCACCCAUCACUACUUCAGGCAGUAGGGAGAACUGGUCCAAGGGUCAUGAGCAUAGAAGUGUUGUGUUAAUAGUCAUUGACUGUACCACUCAGCAGAGCAGCUCUACACCUCAACUUGGGCAGCCCAAUAUAGCUGGGAUGUACUAGUGAGUCAUCCCUGAGGUGAGUGAGUCACUUACCCUGAGAUGUCAUUGGUGCAGAGGUGAUGCCCUCCCCAACACCAUUCCACUUACAGCAGACAGGGGAGUAGACCCUGGGUUCAUGAGAGGUAGAGAGCUGGUCCUGCCCAUCUCAGAUUAUAGCACUCAAGAGGAUAAACUCUUUACUUUACCUGGGCAACCCAGUGGAGCUGGCCCUGUUGGCCAGGACACAGAUGAGCCACCCCAAAGGCAUGAGUAUAGGAGAGAUGAUUUGCCCACUAAUCUGCUGUGAGUUGGCUUAAGUGUAGUGGUGAUUCCCUCUGCCUUACACCCCUCAACAUCUGAGGCAGUAGGGACAGCUGGCCCUGGGUCAUGAAAGCAGAUGUACUGCCCCUGCCCUUCACAGCUGCAGCUCUCAGGAGGCUGGGCACAGUACUUUACCUGGUCAACACACUAGUGCUGGCCCUGAUGGUAAAGACAUCCACUAAUGAACCAGCCAGCCCUGAGGGUGUGAGAGCAGGAAGAUUGUCCUAUCCCCUAAUUGGUCAGAACAGUUAUCAGAGUAUGCCCUGUCUGUACCUUGACCGGGCAUCACAGUGGAGACGGCUCUGGCUUAGGUGUAGGAGCCAGCCUGAAGGACAUGAGAGUGGGGGAGCUGACCCUGCUUUCCUAUGGUGGCUACAUUGGGUAGGCUAGCCAGAACAGUGCUAGACAGCUCUGACUGGUGUUUACAGGUAUGGGUGAACUGGCUUGGUGACCAACUCAGCUACCAGGUCUAGAUGCAGGACAUUAAGUUGGUCCAUCCCAAAAUCUAUAUCAUCUGCCAAUGGUUGCUAUGAGUGAUCCAGUCCUGCUGAUUCAAAGCUGCAGGAUCUCCAUGAUACAGGGCAACAACAGGAUAACUGGCAGAAAGAAUACAAUAUUGAUGGUGUCGCAGAAGCUAGAGGUCUCGAACCAGGCCAGAUGACUCAUUGCAGUGAGUAUUUGCAAGUAAAGAUGUGUGGACAGAGGAGUAUACUGUAGGACAUACUAGGACACACUACAGGGCGAGAUGUUUUCUAUACUUUAUUGGGCAUUGCAAAGAUAGAGGGUGUAUAGGAAGGGAUAGGGGAUGAGGAAGACUAGGGUGCAUGAUAGGAAACUCACAAAGAAUCAAUGAAAAGUUCAAGUAAAAAUGGGAAAGGAUGGGGAAAUGUGCACAUUCCAUAAAAUAGUGUAGUGUAAUUUUGAAGUCAGCAAGAAAGGACAGGAAGGGAACUCCAUGAAAUGAGAAAGACACCUGAUAAUCAUGGUUCCUCCUAUGAGUUCAGAAUCACAUAUCAAAUGGUGGCAACAGACAAGUUUUAGUAUCUGUUCCCAUAGUUAUUUCAGUUUUUUAAAGGGCAAUGUAAGAAAAAAGGUGACAUGAUUUUGUACAGGGAGAGCACACCAGAAACUUAUAACACACAUGCACCCAAUCUGCACCCUCCAUAUGAGCUGAAUCAUGAAGAAACCAUUACAGGGAAUGGGCAGAACUGCACAAAUGCUAAUUUACCUCAGGUGCGGUGUCAGAAUAUAUGCAUUCAUUGGAAAAUAAAUAACAUGUUUACAGGGAAACUGAUUAGAAAUGACAAAGUACACAAAAUAAAGUGAUAACUGAAAUAUAUAAAUAAUUACAAAGACUUAAAAAUUUGCAAAUAUGGUUAAUGUGUAUAAGAACUUAGAUAAUACUUAUGCUUUGGCAGAGAGCCAGAUAGUUGUUUGGGGACAUUGCAAUAUAUGUCUUGUGCAAUUUUCCAAGUCACUUUGGUAAAUAUUUUUCUAUUUAAAAAAAUCUCUGCAAUUAAUAGAUUGUAUCCUUCCUACACAAAAGUCAGAGUGGCUGACGAAUAAAGCAAAGAUUAAGGAACCAGAUUCCAAGAGCAAUAGUUCACGAGUAUUCCUAAAAUCAUUAAAAGUGUAUAUCUGAAACGAUACAAUCAAGGACAGCCCACAUAUUAAUAAUUGUAAUCACACAUGGACUGAGAUUCCUAGAGUGUAUGUAAAACAAGAAAGCAUUUGCCAUCCACUGGCCAUGGUGAUGGGAGGACUGAGAUAGUUUUAAAGGAAUACAAUCCUAUUAGCAUUGUAUGUUUCCAAAGCAACAUGUGGCCAGAAAACAGAGCAAUGUUUAUAUCUUCAAACAAAAAAAUGUUAGUCAAGGGUUUUACACACAGAAAAUUGGACUGUCAAGUAUAAAAACUGAAUUCACUAACAAUACAAUACUGAUACAUGGUGAAGAAUUAACUAGAUAAUGAGCUUGGGCCAAAAAUAAUGAUGAAGAAAGGUGUCUAUAAACUGUAAUGAUCAGCAAACAUUUACUUAAUUGGAAAAGUAAGGACAAAUCUCCAUCAAGGGAACACAGUUUGCUAAGGGUUGUGUUCAUUCAAUAUAGAUAUUGAUAUCCUAUAUUUAGGAAAGAAAUUUUAACCUUUUUUGAUCAAUUUGUGACAGAAUUAGCAAUAUAUGGACAUAAGUAUGUGACAGUUGUAUCCAUACACAGUCAUAAAUUAAGCUGUAUUACAGUAAUUUGAACUCAAAGAAAGGAUUAUUUUCACUUACUGACAAUUACCUAUUGUCAAAAUAGGUUUCAAAAUUAAAAUAAGUACAGAGAGGUUUAGAAGCAAACACUUAGUUGCAAGUUUCUUUCUUUUCAUAAUGCAUAUUCUUUUUAUGUGAAGACCAAAGCAAUUUAUGGCUUUCGGGUGUUCAUUGUAUGUGUACAGAGCACAGAAGUUACUUGUUGGACCUGGAUCUGGAACACCUAUGAAGUCAUCUCCUCUUGGUGUGUCAUGUGUCCUCCAAGUCAAUCUUCUCUCAGGGUAAGUGCUACUGUCCCAACAACAAUGACAAGGUUUUAGAAGUGGUAAGAAUGAGAUCCUUUAGAAAACACCCUUGUAUACUUUGACAAUUUUAUUCAAAUAUAAUAUGGUAUCUUUUACUGUGUAAAGGAAUAUUACAUAGGAAAAAGGCUUGGAGUGAUAAUCCAGUCCAAUAUAUCUAAUAUUUUAGAAAUGAUAAUGACCCUAUGGACAUCACUACAAACACCUUGCAGAAGAUGUUCACAUUGUAGUUCCAUGUGCAAUCCUGUAGUAGACAUGCUCACCUGCAGAGUAUGCAUUUUGAUAAGUUUAUCAGCCAUUUUAAUGGUCCUUUUAUGUAUUUGGUUGACUAUUUAAAAGUCCAUUUUUUAUAUGGCUUUUCAUGCACUCGGGAUUGUGAAAUAAUUGUAUUACAAAUGCAAAUUUUUAAAAUGGGCUUAAAUUUAGUUAGCCUUUUCCUUAAGUAUUAUUAAUACUCCUUUUAAGUGAUACUAUUUUCUGCAUUUAAUUAUAUACCUGUUGAUGACAAAAAAAUUUGAAAUACAAUGAGCUUCUCAUGGGGGCUGUUUAUCAAGCCACUUUGUAAAUGUAUAUGGUGUGUCCAGAGUCAUCAGGAGCGUUUGCAUUGUGUUCAUAUACUUUUCUAUAUUUGCCAUUUGCUUCCUGCUUUACAAGACAAAUAACUGCUGCACACUGAUGGGAAAUGGGAAGUGCUUUCAAUAUAAUCUAAUUAAAUUAUUCUCCAUUACAGCACAGAGUUGCUAUUUAAUUCCUACUUUGCAAGAAGGUUUAGAAUGAAUACAUUCUGUGAUGAUCAUAUGCUUCUAUUUAGCUGUUUCUAUAGUGAUUGUUACUAUCAUUUUUUUAAAUUUAAGUGAUUUUUUUUCUUUCUGGACAAA